GAUGAACGCUGGCGGCGUGCCUAAUACAUGCAAGUCGAGCGAACAGACGAGGAGCUUGCUCCUCUGACGUUAGCGGCGGACGGGUGAGUAGCACGUGGAUAACCUACCUAUAAGACUGGGAUAACUUCGGGAAACCGGAGCUAAUACCGGAUAAUAUAUUGAACCGCAUGGUUCAAUAGUGAAAGACGGUUUUGCUGUCACUUAUAGAUGGAUCCGCGCCGCAUUAGCUAGUUGGUAAGGUAACGGCUUACCAAGGCAACGAUGCGUAGCCGACCUGAGAGGGUGACCGGCCACACUGGAACUGAGACACGGUCCAGACUCCUACGGGAGGCAGCAGUAGGGAAUCUUCCGCAAUGGGCGAAAGCUUGACGGAGCAACGCCGCGUGAGUGAUGAAGGUCUUCGGAUCGUAAAACUCUGUUAUUAGGGAAGAACAAAUGUGUAAGUAACUAUGCACGUCUUGACGGUACCUAAUCAGAAAGCCACGGCUAACUACGUG
This 497-nucleotide ribosomal RNA is filed under the name uncultured bacterium. RNAcentral describes it as "partial 16S ribosomal RNA". It matches the Rfam family "Bacterial small subunit ribosomal RNA", at positions 28 to 507 of the family's 1533-position model. The record is from RNAcentral.